GACCUAAACCCUACCUAAAAAUAGGGCAUGGUCGCAAAUACUACAUGAAUAUAGAGAUGGCUACGCCGUCUCUGGUAUUAUUCAUGUAGUCAACAAUCGAAAGGUUGUUGGAUCCCGAAAGGGAUC
Molecule: small RNA, 126 nt
Filed under: unclassified sequences
Description: LOOT RNA
Rfam family: LOOT RNA
About the family: Latescibacteria, OD1/Parcubacteria, OP11, TM7.
Source: Rfam by way of RNAcentral